Leguminivora glycinivorella is the source of this 688-nucleotide long non-coding RNA. RefSeq lists it as uncharacterized. The record is from RefSeq and is a predicted model, not a curated record. The transcript is spliced from 2 exons. NCBI's taxonomy places the organism in Eukaryota, Metazoa, Arthropoda, Insecta, Lepidoptera, Tortricidae.
CAAAAAUCAAAGUUUUUUGAACUAUGUUGUGUUAUAAUAUCAAAUGAAAGAGCUUUUUAUAACUAUCUAUAAAAAAAAAUGUGUCAAGUAAUUUAAGAAAAUAGGCGAAAAAUGACCACUAAUGAAAUUAUCCAAUCAAACUCAAAUAACAUGAUCAAAGUGUAAGAUUUUAAGAAAAGUAAUCAUAUAAGGUCUGUAUAGUUAAAUUGUGACACAUAUACAUACGGGUUUUUUAAUUUCUUCUCAUAAAAUUAAUUUACCUAUCCAUACUAUAAAAAGGUGACUUGGUCAGUAAAAUGGUGACUUUUAGGGAAACGAAAUGUGACUUGUGAGUCCAGGGCCCUGGCAACACUGCUUCCUUUCAUUUUCCUUUUCGGCCCAUGCGCUGAAUGGUGGCUUGGUGGCGUCGCUUGCACCGGCACCGGUGUAUUUUCUUUGGUGAUGUGAGCAAUUAGUAAAGCAAGGGAAAUUUCUCGUAUUUGGCGUCAACAUUCAGUGAUCAGUGUGUGAUACAUGACAAUAACCUCUAACAAUACAAUAGUGUGGGUCUACACAGCGAGGCACGUCCCUUAUUUUCUGUGUAGCGGCAUGUAUAGCGUCGUUGAGUUUGCUGAAGAAUGGCUGACACCCGGGAAGCAGCGAUGUCUGUGGCCGCCCCAAAAAUUGAUGACCAAGUUUGCAGCCAAGU